UGGCGAUGAUGAUAAAUUUAAGGAUCUUGUUUCUUAAAACAUUCACAGUUGCUAAAUAGGAGCUUUUGCCUUGCUAGGCUUGAAAGUUAAUGGUGUUAAUUCCUUCCUUGGAUGUAUGAGCAU
Molecule: small nucleolar RNA, 123 nt
Organism: Lolium rigidum
Lineage: Eukaryota; Viridiplantae; Streptophyta; Magnoliopsida; Poales; Poaceae
Product: small nucleolar RNA SNORD14
Exons: 1
Source: RefSeq, a predicted model, not a curated record